Molecule: ribosomal RNA, 425 nt
Filed under: uncultured bacterium
Lineage: Bacteria
Description: partial 16S ribosomal RNA
Rfam family: Bacterial small subunit ribosomal RNA
Source: RNAcentral
GUGGGGAAUCUUAGACAAUGGGCGCAAGCCUGAUCUAGCCAUGCCGCGUGAGCGAUGAAGGCCUUAGGGUUGUAAAGCUCUUUCAGUGGGGAAGAUAAUGACUGUACCCACAGAAGAAGCCCCGGCUAACUCCGUGCCAGCAGCCGCGGUAAUACGGAGGGGGCUAGCGUUGUUCGGAAUUACUGGGCGUAAAGCGCACGUAGGCGGACUGGAAAGUCAGGGGAGAAAUCCCGGGGCUCAACCCCGGAACUGCCCUUGAAACGCACAGUCUUGAGGUCGAGAGAGGUGAGUGGAAUUCCGAGUGUAGAGGUGAAAUUCGGAGAUAUUCGGAGGAACACCAGUGGCGAAGGCGGCUCACUGGCUCGAUACUGACGCUGAGGUGCGAAAGCGUGGGGAGCAAACAGGAUUAGAAACCCGUGUAGUCC